RNAcentral lists this unclassified non-coding RNA (738 nucleotides) under Athalia rosae (coleseed sawfly). RNAcentral describes it as "misc RNA ENSAEAG00005008043.1". Lineage: Eukaryota; Metazoa; Arthropoda; Insecta; Hymenoptera; Athaliidae. The record is from RNAcentral.
CUUGAGAGAAGAAUUGAGAUACUCUGAUUCGUUUCGUCCAGAGAAAAGUUUUUCUAAUUCUCCCAGCUAUAGAUGGCAGGUGAAAUGGCAGUCGCCUGGUGUCGGUUCUACCUGAAAACAGGAGGAUGAAGUCCCGCGAAGAGGAGUUGAAUCGAGUUGGUGGAACGAUACGGGACGCUCUAUAUUCAUUAUUAAGUUGGCAACGGAGUCUGUAGUCUGGGUGCUGGUGCCGUCUUCUUGCACAUUUUAUCAGCUUCGAUCGAGCGAUGCAUUCACGAACGCACUCUCAGGGGAUCUGACGCUCCGAAACAUCAACGUCGCAAGGACCCGCCAAAAAAGACAAGUGCCAGAAGAAUGACGUUCCGCUCGCUGGCAAACAUCUCCUUGACUUCUGACCAAAAAGUGUUUAUCUCUGCGAGUAUCUCGAACAAAAAUGAAUCAUGUUGCAUAAUUAUUGACCUUUGCAUGAAUAUUCAUAUCUACAAAACUUGUAUUUAGAAAAAUUACUUAAGUACUACUGUAAUAAUAAAAUUAACCGAGAUUGUAGGGAAAAUAUUAGGACAUUAUGAAUGUAGUAGAUUAUGAUAAAAUGAGGCGAUAGUAGAAUGUAUUUCACCUAUGUAACUUACGAAUAAACAUACAGCUGAACGUUGUUGAUAGACUCGAUUUUUACAAAUGAAACCCAUUCCAUCGUUAUUCAUCAAGAUCAACAUCCAAAAUGAGCAAAAUAUUACAACG